Molecule: small nuclear RNA, 104 nt
Filed under: Myotis davidii
Lineage: Eukaryota; Metazoa; Chordata; Mammalia; Chiroptera; Vespertilionidae
Source: RNAcentral
GUGCUCACUUCAGCAACACAUGUGCUAAAAUUGGAAUACAGAAAAGGUUAGCAUGGCCUCUACAUAGCGAUGACACGCAAAUUCGUGAAGAGUUCCAUUAAAAA